RNAcentral lists this microRNA (22 nucleotides) under Homo sapiens (human). RNAcentral's name for it is "hsa-miR-454-5p". Its record names the gene hsa-miR-454-5p. The record is from miRBase by way of RNAcentral. Lineage: Eukaryota; Metazoa; Chordata; Mammalia; Primates; Hominidae.
ACCCUAUCAAUAUUGUCUCUGC